This 433-nucleotide ribosomal RNA is filed under the name uncultured bacterium. RNAcentral describes it as "partial 16S ribosomal RNA". It matches the Rfam family "Bacterial small subunit ribosomal RNA", at positions 29 to 507 of the family's 1533-position model. The record is from RNAcentral.
AGCGAACGCUGGCGGCAGGCCUAACACAUGCAAGUCGAACGGACCCUUCGGGGUUAGUGGCGGACGGGUGAGUAACACGUGGGAACGUUCCUUUAGGUUCGGAAUAGCUCCUGGAAACGGGUGGUAAUGCCGAAUGUGCCCUUCUGGGGAAAGAUUUAUCGCCUUUAGAGCGGCCCGCGUCUGAUUAGCUAGUUGGUGAGGUAACGGCUCACCACGGCGACGAUCAGUAGCUGGUCUGAGAGGAUGACCAGCCACACUGGGACUGAGACCCGGCCCAGACUCCUACGGGAGGCAGCAGUGGGGAAUCUUGCGAAAUGGGCGAAAGCCUGACGCAGCCAGGACGCGUGAAUGAUGAAGGUCUUAGGAUUGUAAAAUUCUUUCAACGGGGAAGAUAAUGACGGUACCCGGAGAAGAAGCCCCGGCUAACUUCGUG